AUUUCCUCCAACAUGAAGUUAGGAACACUGGGUAUAUUCCAAAUGUGCCUUAUUUCACUGAGGGACAAAUAACAAGUUCCAGCUUGCUCCAAUGAUAUUGGAAUUAAGUCAGCCAACCAUGUUUUCAAGGUCAGAUGGAUCCCUCCACUUCAAGGCUUACAUCAUGCUAGAUAUUUUAUCUGAGUAGAAAAUUAACAAUUGGGAUAAAUAUAAAGGUGUUGAUCUAGAGAGAAUUCCCAUUGAAACUUCUUCAAACAAAUCUCCAUCCCAGUCCCCAUCUUAGGCAACCCAGCCUAACAAAGGCAGUAACGAGUUCCUCAGCCAAUGGAUAGUGUCAUCCUUCACAGUUCUGACAUGAACAUUUACGCAUUAGAUGUUCUAAGUCGGCUCCCUGCAGUGCAUGUCAACAUUAGAACACCUGGGGCAGAGCUGGCUCCCAGAACAACAGGAGAGACUUGCCAACAAGCUUGCUUAGGAUUUCUCUGCAGUGGAAAUUUUGGGACUGGGACCUGUUUGGAAAUAUCAGAGAUAACUAGAGGUGGGGGUAACGCCAAUGCUUCCUAGUAGAACAAGAUAGAAAACCACAUGGAUCAUUUCAAAGAAGCCACAGUUUGGAUUGGAUGCAAGAAGGAAUGGUUUAGAAGAGGUCACAGGUCACUGCCCCUUUGUUACUGAGCAUACUUUGGUUUUGUUUCCUCUGUCAUGAUUGGAAAAGGAUCUGUUGCUAACCUUCUAUCAAGUUGUUCUUGUAUAACUUGAGGCCCAGCAUCAACUCUCGAGAGGAGUGAAAAAGCUACUGAAUGCAAGUAGAACAUGGAGCCUCUCCAUCACUCUAUCAUUUUUGUCUAUCACUAAGUCUGUUGAUUCAUUGAAGUCCAAACUUUUGCUGGCACCACCUUGGCCUCUCACGGUCACCUCCACAAAAUCUCCAAGUGAGUCAGAUGAAAUGGUAAAGAGUAAAGAGGUGUGUUUCUGGCUCCUCCACUCCAGACUCUGAGCAAUGAACAACUCAAACAAAGUCUUUCAACCUGAAACUCUCAAGGGCAGGGUGUGGGGAGGUGUGCAGCAUGGUUCAUGUUCAGCAGGUUGAACAUGUGUACUUUCAGUCCAUUUAAUAACUAACUCCCCAGCUGAGCUGCAGUCCGGCUUCCAAUGCUUUUCAUAGAAAAUACCACUAAAACACCGAUCUUCAAAACUUUUGUGUUUUAUGGCCAGGAAUAAAAGCUUACCUCUUUCCCUGCAGUGAUUAUCUUUCCCUGGUUGCUCAUGUUCUAAAAAGUUUAUUAAUUAAAUUUGGCUUCUCUGGUUGA
Canis lupus familiaris (dog) is the source of this 1310-nucleotide long non-coding RNA. RefSeq lists it as uncharacterized. The record is from RefSeq and is a predicted model, not a curated record. The transcript is spliced from 4 exons. Lineage: Eukaryota; Metazoa; Chordata; Mammalia; Carnivora; Canidae.